UCGACCUAUAAAUAGUUCUUGCUCCUGCUGACAAAAACUGAUGCCACCUCGAAUUAUUAUUGGAUUAUAUGGAGGGGAUCGGAUUAAUCUGCGUGACAGUUAAGCGAAGUUAGAUUGGGGAUAAUUCUACUAGUAAUAGGAGAGCGGUUGCAUUAUCUCGACAUAAAGGAUAACAAAGGAAAUGAGUCGAAGGUGAUAUUCUGUCGAAGGAAAAACCAACGCAAUCAAGAUGGGGCGGGAUAACCAAUGGAAGAAUCAAACUCCCGAGCAAAGGCGGCCGACAAUCGCAUCUCCAUACUAGCCACGCCAAGGCACACAGGAAUGCAGUCCGGCUACUCAGCCCGCCUGCACCCGGAUGAUGCCGGCUUGAAGAACAAUCAUCUCUCACCGAACGCACUUUCAAUAAACGCACGACUUAACUCCCUGAAACGGAACUCGCACCUCAGCUUGAACAACAUCCAAAGAACUGCGGAACAGUAUGUCCAAUGCAAACCGAGCAGUUGUGCUGCGUAUAGUUGUCCGAAUCCUUUGCUCAGCGUCCCGGGCCAGGACGAGGAAUUUGAAGAGUUAGAACGAAAUCGGCUACUGCGGCGAGUUAGGCGAUGUGCCGCUUCACAGAUUGUUGUAGGAUUAGGCCUUGUCAUGAACGGGGUUCUAAACUUCUCUGUGGAGACGACAUUACAUUUUGUUUGCGCCGGGUUCUGGGGUGGGCCUCUGGCGUUCAUUUCAGGAUUAAUAGGCGCGCGGUGCUACAAGGAUCCCAACAAGUGGAACAAACGAUUGAAUGCAUUUUUCGCUUAUUUGAACGGGACAUUAAUUUACUGGUCAGUAUUCGGAUUAGCUGCUUAUGCGCUUUCACAAGACUUGCAGAACACGCUAUUUACUUUCAUACACCUUCUGGAUAUGGUACUGGUGUUUUGCGGCGAUAUAUCAGCGUUCUUUCAGACUUGCGUGGACCCACCAAAGGCAAGGCAUUUUUACGCUAAGGUUCCUGGAUUACGUAAAAUUUAGAGGAUCCUUUCCGCUUGCUAUGAGUAUGGCUGUCCUGUUAACUGUAGCACACGUACUUUAUUCUUUCACAUAGGAAUCACGUAGUUUUCCUCCACGUGGAGUUUUCUUACGUUUUGCCAGUGACCAGUUCUUUAUGUUCACUAUUCUUUCCCUGCUUGUGGACAGUCGUUUUCAAUCAUUUUGCAUUUUCGUUUUCCUUCCUAUUUACACCAAACGUUUUCUAAAGCGUCCAAAUGAGACCCAAAAUGUGGACGUUGGAUUGGAGUAUAGUCGCUAUUAUGACUUGGAGUCGGCAAGUGUCAUGCACAAUCUCUUACAUGUGUAUUGGAUCUAUAAAUUGGCGUUUCCCCAUAGCCUUUCGACGAGACGCCUGUUGAAAGCCCCGUAUCGGAGCCGCGACCGCAUCGGCCAUUCAGAGACCCCGUGAUCACGACGGACUGACUACGCAAAAGGUCCCACCACGGACACAAUGCUCAACCUAGACUGCUGAAGACCACUGCAUGGAUCUCCAUCAAAGCAUGGACGUUUCCUCCCAACAGACCCCACCCCACAUAUUUAUGCAUUCCCUCUAAUUCCUAAUCGAGCUUCCCAGAACUAUCUUCCAUCUCGAUCCCCGAGGUCACGACCCUGCAAACAUUUAUAAGCGAUGAGAGCGGCCAACAGGAACCCUCGGGCUGACUGCUGUCCGGCAAACUAGCAUCACCAUUCCGAUAGGCAGAAUAGGGACGAAGAAAUGAGACUCCCUGAGAGCAACAGAGCAAUAAAGCCGUUGACACGGGACCAACCCGACUCAUUCGGAUCGUCUAAAGGCGCACCAACUGACUGUGAUUUGUCAUGGUCCCUCGAGUGGACCAACCACCUCCGGAGCCAGAAACGGACUUAUGAGCGUCUGAGCCGAGUCUAAGUGGUUUGGGUGUCAGAGUUUGCACCACUGCGUUUAUGAAUUCUUGGGUGUAGACGCUUGGAAACGCUUAAAGGACCAUUCGGCAUUUACUUCUCAGUAACGGUAAAACGACAUUAAACAAAUCUUGAAGGGGUUGUUUAUCUGUAUUUGGCGGUAAACAGCAAUGAUUUACCCAUCCUUCCACGAAGGUGCAAUAUUGCAUAAUUUCUAACCUGCAUCGGAGGCUAAUGGUAUAUGUAAUAUUGAGAAUGUGAUAACCUUUUAUACGCUGUACCAGCAGUGUAUUACCGGUCAUACACUGCUGGCUGUACAUAUAUAUAUGAUUCUGUCAAUUUGUUUAGUUACUUGUACAAAGAUUUAACGACUCGCAUAGUGGAUGUAACUUAGUGUUAGAGAAACUUUCCUUCAAGUUGACAAAAAUGCUUCUACCAGAAGAACAUUUUCAGGAUCAUAUGUUCGCCUAUAUUUAAUCAGUUUGUUAUUGUAACUCCAGCUGUUAGUAAACCUAGCUUCUAUUAUAUGUUACAAUGGAAGCACUUCAUAUUGAGCCUAGCUUCUAUCAGAUAGCACCAUGGAAGCAUUUCACAUUGAACCAUGCUUAGAUAGCACCAUGGAAGAACUCCACAUUGAAUCAUGCUUCUAUUAGCUAUCUUCAUGGAAGCGCUUCACAUUGAACCAUGCUUAUGUCGACAUUAAAGCACUUCAUAGAGGAGCCAUGCUUCUAUCAGGUGUCACUAUGGAUUAAAGCACUUAACACUGAACCAUGCUUCUAUAAGAUAUCUUAAUGGAAGCGCUACACAUUGAACCAUGUUUCUAGUCGAUGUCACCAUAGAGACAUUUACACUGAACCAUGCUUCUCUAAGAUGUCGCCAUGGGAGCACUUCGCACUGAACCAUUUUAAUACCUGUAGGUAUAGAUCUACUGUAGGCCUACUUUCGUAAUGGCUAUCAAAAUUAGAUAUCGGUUAAUAAGGCUAUAGUUGUCUCUUAAAUGGGAACUAUAGCCAGGAGCUA
Long non-coding RNA from Lineus longissimus, 2928 nucleotides. RefSeq lists it as uncharacterized. NCBI's taxonomy places the organism in Eukaryota, Metazoa, Nemertea, Pilidiophora, Heteronemertea, Lineidae. The transcript is spliced from 3 exons. The record is from RefSeq and is a predicted model, not a curated record.